GAGCUGGGGCCGGGCCUCGCCCCGCCCGCCCGGGUAGGAGCCGUCCCCGCCGUGCUGAGGGUGAUGGGCGGCUGCCGGCCCGGCGGGUUUGCGGCUCGGCCGCGCCCAGACGCGCAGGUCUGGGGGCUGAACGAUACCCGACACCCCCCGGGCACGGGAAACGCGAGGGGCGGUGGGGUUGCCCCACGGCUCCCGAGACAAAGCUACGGCAGCGCCCGCCCCGCCGGGGCAGCGGGCAGAGCAAGGGCAGCGGGACCCGCCCCGGCACAAGGGGCCGCGGGAGCCGCGCUGGGGGCGCUUAGGCCGCAGCGCCCGAGGGCGCCGUACAGGCUGCGGCAGCCUCAGGAGGACGGCGACGGCCCGCAGCGCCGGCGCGGAGGGGAGAGCGCGCAGCCCCGCCGUGCAGAGCCCAGGGGCUGCGCGGGGCCCUUCGCGGGGGGCUCUCGGGCCCGUUACGGCCCCCCGCCCCUGCGCCAGGGCGCGACCGGGCGGGAGGGGGGCGGCGAGGGGGCGAGCGGCAGGCGGGGCCCGUGGCCAGCGGCAGCCCGGCGCUGCCAGCCGGACUCCCGGCAGGUAACACGCGUGCCUGGGCCGCCGCGAUCUUUGGGCACCGUCAGCGCCGCCGAGGCCGGCGGUGCUCGCCCGCGUGGUUUGUCCCCUGCGUGAAUUUCAGGAGAGAGCCAUGCAGAACAUCCACGGGGGAACGUCCAUGCUGCGUUAUGGCAAGUUUUCGGCCAGCUGUUCUCUUGCUGUAAGAAUCAGAGUAACAUUUACAUACCUAUAAGCAAGCAGUCCUUGGAUCAGUACGGGUGUUUUGAUGGUAACAGGCAAAUUUGGGAUCACCCCCCGCCCCCGCGACCAUCUGCAGUUCAGCUCUGUAUCAGCAACAGGCUUGUGCAUCCCGUAGGUCCACCGGGCUGCCAAAGCGCAUCUAACAAUUUCAUGUGCUUAAACAACAAAAGAUAGCAGCACCCCGUGACACAGCUAAUAAUUCAUAUUCUGUGCAGAACUGGUAUUUAAAAAACAGCUCUUACUUGCCCAUCUGUGUGCUUCUAUAUUGCUGCUGUUGUCAGAGUGACCAUGCAGCUUUAUGCCAGCUACCAUCUCUUCUGCAUCUAACAAGAUCUGGAUGAAAGAUUAAUAUAGAUUACCUCGAUAAAUCUAUCAAAUCUGUGAUCUGUAAAGAGCUAAGGGCAUGUACAUGACUUGUUUUGGGCACAGAAAGUGUGUUUAAUUUGAAUUGCCAGUGCGUAGCUGCUUACAGGAUCAGGUUCCACAUCAGAUUGUCCUGCCCUACCCUCUCCUUGCAUUCCCUAGGAACGCACAAGUUUAUUCUGUCCACAGCUGGGGGAAAAAAAUAAAAUGGACCAAGGCAAAAUACUAGGGAGUACAAUUUCCUUUAAACAGAAGGAAACCACUUUCCCAAAAAAGCGUAUGUUUGGUUUGAUCUCCCCUGCUUUGCUGCAUGCUUAAAGAUACUGUGGAAGCAUCUCUUACAGCAAACACACUCGCUGCAGUCCAGCAGGACUGUGCAGGUUAGAAAUGCCUGCACUGAAGAGCCCCAACGUUGGCUGCGAACAUGGGCAGUUCACAUUCAGGACACCGAUAAAAACUUUUUAGGUAAUCUUUGUCAGCAAAAGCAGUUCCCGAUUUUUACCAUUGGCUUUAACGUGUAACCUAAACUAAACCCAGAUGAUCUAGUCUCAAAUUUCAGUACUAUGACAAAAACUACAUUUUAUUCAUAUAUGUUAUUUCCAGUCCCAGGCAGAAGAAGUUUAUAAAGGCCUCCAGAGUCUGAGGAAUGACUUCAGAGCCUAAAGGAUCCUCUGUGAGUAUUUUUCAACCUACCUCAACAGCAUCAAUGAGUAAAAACCAACCCUGGGAGAGAGACACAGUUAUGCUUGUUGGAAAGAAGCCAUGGGAGCCAGAAGAGAAACUUUAAGAUACAGAGUUGUCUGCAGAGCUUGUGGCCUCAUAGAUAAAGGGAGUUGCUAAAUUGCUGUGUCUGCAAUACAAAAAGGUGCUAGAGUGGCAAAUUGCUGAGCACAGUUACAGGCUGAUAUGUCAGCCCGCUGUAAAGGUAUAAAAGGCUUGCUCGAUUUUAAUAAGUGUCUUCAAGGUGUCUUCGAGUUUUUGAUCCGCUCUCGGAGUCUGUACAUCAAUAUGCCACAAUCCUCUUUUUUUUUCUUUCCAGUUUUAGACCUGACAUUCCGUAUUUGGCAUGAACAAUAUAGCUUCUACCCAUAAUCAGUGUGAGAUACUAAUAAUCUACACCGAGAAUCGCAUCUUUUCUAUACCACCAGAAUUAUUUCCAUCAGAUAAAAGAAAAGCAACACCACUCGGAAAAAUCACUUUCCCCAGCCAAAACAACAACAUGAAAUGAAAUCUGUAACUCUAUUCAGGCAUUCCUAAAGCAUUAAGGAACACAGAUGCUUAAUUGUAGGCUUUGAGCGCAUUAGUUAGAAAGUGGAAACUGAAGCUAAAUAACCAUUAGCACAGAAAAUAAACUGCUUGAAUAAUACUAUAUAUAUAUUGAAAUCCUUUUCAAAGGGAUAAUGAAAUUAUCCUUUCCUUCCCUCUACCUGUUUUCUACCACGUAUGCACACUUCUAAACACAAGGACAGACAUCCAAGAGACAUCUAAACCACCUUCCAUUGCAAGGCCAUCCCCCCAACUCUCCCAUUGCAUUAAGUGCUCCUUUAUGGUUUUUCUUAUGUUUAACGGCCUCUCAGCUUUUGAGUGAACUUAUCCCAACCGAUCAGCCUUUUUCUGUUCCUUUCCCUAUACCUCCUCAUGCAAUUGAAUUUGCUCUUCCAUUACCUUAACUUGGAGUUACUAUCUAAUUCUGCUGAUUUUGCAUAAAAUUACCGUAAGCAGAAAACAGUUGUCUUGUUAGGUAGGCAGAUCUGGAAGGGUGGCUAUCAGCAUUAAGUAUUUAAAAGAAAAUAUAUUGCAUGAUUUUUAAAGGACUAAGAUUGUAAAACAGACUAGAUUCCACUCACUAAACAGUUAUGUCAUGCAAAAAAAAAAAAAGUCAGUAAAGAGGGUAUUUUGGGUUCAUUAAUCAUCACACAAGCUUCAAAGUGAUAAAGGAAUUUUUAAUAUGUUGUAUUCGAAUAACUAAGAACACUGACCCAAAUACUGAAUGUAAACAUAUUUCUAAGCAAUUUAGUGGGUGGUAGAGUAACAGGGUAGAAUAAAGCAGGUGACAAGGAAAACAAAGUAGCUUAACCAAAGAACAUUUGAGCCUGUCCUAUAAACUGUCUCUUUCAGUUAUUUGUAUUUUCACAGCCUUUUGGCUGGAGCCUGGAACAAGACAGCAAGGUUACACUGUGAAACCUCGUGAUUGAAGUGACACGGGAAACAUCGUUACUGAAACCUGCCGUCUCUGUGACACACACACGGCAAAGAUGAGGACACGUGCAACAGCCUGAUGGGACAGACAGACCUUCAUCUCCUGGCAAGAAAACGAUCCAAAACAUGGAAAGACUGACUGGAAGCUACAGAAGCACUCGAUAGUCCAAAACAGCAAGACCAUAAAAAGGAACAGCGCUGCCUGCCUGGGCUGCAAGUUACCGUAUUACGGGCUAACCUGGAACACGGCACGACACCAGGAGGACUUUUCUUUUCCUCUGCAUGAGUCAGAGUAUCAUCCUCCAGGACAGGAAUGCCCGUGCCAGGGCAUGGGACACCACCUUCCUCCCAGAGACUCAAGGUUUCCACACUAACUGGAAGAAUUUGAAAAACAUCUUAACGUGGUCAGGCUUGCCCAGAACUAAUAAAAGCCAACAAGAAUCCCCAAACCUAGGAGAAAACAACGUUUUGUCACUGUUGGCACACAGACUAGAACUGGACAAUAUCCUGUUGUUCUUUCUCUCUAUUUUUCACCAUAGCAGCAGUAUCAUCGAGGAGAGAGAGACAAAGGGUCAGGGAAAUGGCUAGCACGCGCAGACACAGAUGUUGAAUGAGAUGGGCAGGAUGCACAGCCAUUCUGGAGUCCGCAAUCUUAGAGCGCCUGACAGCUUUAUGAAUGUUUAAAUGUACUUUCCUGAGCAUAACGUUCAGUUUGUUCUACCAUUGCUGCAUAUUAAAAAGUAUUCAAAGUAGUCUCAUAUUUUACUUACAAAAUAUCAGUUCUGUUCAAAGUGGGAAAUGUUUGCCUGAAUCAGGACAGAAGAAUUCUCCCUUUCCAUAGACAUGGAAGAUGCACGGUGAACUUGAUAAAUAACAUCGCUAAACAUAUCCAUUCUUCACAAUCAGCCUUUAGACUCAAGGUCUGAUCGUGACAAACCCUUGACUCCAAGCUGUUAGUGAAAGACAGCGAGUAUAAUAAAGCUGGUAUAUAUUAUCACACCUCAGAUGCAGGCUGUCAUCACCCUGCCCUGACUGAGCUGUUAAAUUGUGACAACUUCUGAGUCCAGUUGUCAUUUUCACUCCAGCUCUGUCAGUACUGAACCAAUGCGAGAAACAUGUUUAGUCAAACUGCCUUUCUAAAAAAACACCGUGCUAAUUUAUUCAUUGUCCUUACUUUGCCCAUUUGAUAUUUGCAUCACAUUAAAAUCCUGAACCAUUCUAUUCUAUUUGAAUGGCAAGGUAUGGUAAAAAACAGCGGAACUUCUAUUUCUAGAUCUAAAAUUAGUUUUGGGUGAGAACCUUGAAGAGUGUGUCUUGUUUGGUGAAAGGUGAGGAGUAAAACCCAAUAAAUUACCAAGAUUUUGGAAGAACCUUGGAGCCAAGCAGGUGAAAUCCUGCUGCCGAGUGAGCUUAACUGCUUGGAAGUAGCAUCCUGAUUUUACUAGCGUACAUACAGAUGACAAAUUUGGUUUGAGAUGUAAUCCUCAAACUAUGUAACAAACUAUUAUGUAGUAUGAUUAUAUAUUGGCCUUCUGCCACCCCGAAGCCUCACACAGAAAGCUGAGAAUAACGGUUUAACAGAGACCUCCAACAAUGUAGGUGUGUUGGUGGUGUUAAUCUAAGGAAUUUGGGUGUAGUCUCUGUGCACAGAGAUUUGAAGCUUCCCCUUUUAAAAGCUAAGUACACACACAUUUAAAUAAAACAAAAAACCACCAAGGCAGCUCCUCUAUUUCAAAGUGGAAAUGAGCUCAGUCAAAUAACGGGGGGAGGGGGGCAGUUUUAACUGUCUGUUCUAAGACGAGCCAAGAGACCAAGCUGUGUGUUCUGUUUGAAAGUUAAAUGUAACUGCAAGAGAAAUCAACGGAGGGAUCUGCCUGGAGUCCUGCCAGAACAAAAUUAGUAAAAAAACCACAAAAGAUGAGAAGACGAAUGGCUGGCAAUGCACCAACUACUGGUGCUGUAAACACGUACCGAGCUCCUAGCUUGUAAAUUAUGGAAUUUAGUGUUACUAAGAAUAAAAUCAGAUGAAAUAAAUAGAAAGCAAGAAAAGGCUGCGAGCCCAAGUUCUGUUCCCUCACAGAUGGCGCGCAGCCCGAGCCAGGGGCGGCGGAACCCGCGGCGCAGCAGCUCCCAGCCGGGGCUCAGCCCGGGCCCUGGAGCCUCCCGGCCGCACGGGCUGGGGCAGGGGCCGGCCCGGCCGCGACAGGUGCUCGCAGGGCCGCCGCCGCCUCGCACUCGCGGCGGGCAGGGGGGAGCGGCCCUGCCCCGCGGCAGCGCUCCCCGCCCCAGCGGCCCGGCCUCACCGGCUGGCGCCGCUGGGGAUGCGAUGCCGCUCAGCCCGCCCCGCCGCCCUGCCCGCUCGGGCCCGGCGCUCCGGCAGCGCGGCCGCUGAAGGCCGGGCCGGAGCCCGGGGCGGGGCGCCGGGAGCCCCCGAGGCCCUCCGGCUGGGGGCGCUGACGGCUGGGCGAGGCCCGCUGUCACCAGGCUGGGCCGGGCCCGGCCCGGCCCGGCGGGGCCUCCCGCCCGCCCUCAGGCGCCGCACCCCGCCCGAGCGGCUCCGACGGCCGGGGCCCCCAUAAUGGCGGCGGGCGGCGCAGCUCGGGGGGCAGCGGCAGCGGGCCCCGCUCGGGCCGCCUCGCAGCGCGGAGCCCGGCCUCACCCUCCCCGGGCGCGGCCCCCGCCAACCCGCUGCGGCGCCUGAGGGGAACGCGCGGCCCCGGCGCGGC
Molecule: long non-coding RNA, 6080 nt
Organism: Falco peregrinus (peregrine falcon)
Lineage: Eukaryota; Metazoa; Chordata; Aves; Falconiformes; Falconidae
Exons: 3
Source: RefSeq, a predicted model, not a curated record